GUUCAUUUUUUUCUGCAGUGGAAUAAAAUAUAAGUUCAUUGUAUUUUCAGGUUACUAAAAAGUUUUACAGGUCAAGCUUAUCUCAGGAGUUACAUAUACUGACACUCAGCUACAUAAAUUAUUCCCUGGGGAUAAUCUUCAGUGAGUUGCUAGGAGAUGACCAGUUUAUAUUUUCCUUUGAUUAUAGGGCAUAAACAUUCCACUGUCAAAAUACCAAAAGAAGAAAAAAAGAAGAAGAAUGAUUGCCUAACAUUUUUUUCCUGUUACUCACAGUGAGAUAUCAGAAACCAGAAUGUUUUGCACCACAGGAAGGGACCCAGGGAGCCGUGAGUAUCUCUGUGAGAAUUAUAAGGAAGAAUUACUACAGGAGCAAGGCCAAUAUCCUUCAGCAGUGGCUCAAUGUUCAACACACAGUUGGCUCUAAGCAGGCCUGCCAUGACCCAGUUAGAAUCAGAUAUGGAUGCUUGAUCUGGUAUCCAUUAGACAAGAGUACCAUAGUGAUCGGAUGCAUCUUUACCCAAUUUCCUGGAAGACAGACAGAGCAGGUAUCAGGGAAGCCUUUGAAGCUCAGACAGGGCUUCACUAUGCGGUCCAGGGUGGUCCUGAGCUCGCUGGAUAGCCCAGGCUGACCUCGAAUUCUCAGCCAUCCUCCUGCUCCUGCCUCAGCCUCCAAGUGCUGGGAUUACAGGCAUGUGCCACCGCAAUUAGCUUGUCCCUUGUAAUUGGAAGUUUUAUCUGGAUGUGAAAUACAGAUGGGGUUAGAAGCCAAAAAUGAUGGGAAACAACUUUUUUUUAGUAUAACAAGACAAUAAACCCUAGACCACAAGGUCAAAGAAGCCAAUGAUUUUGCUGUAAAGUAGAAGAAAAUACCCAGGUCUUUCUGCAUAGUAAAGCUGAUUCUGCUGUAACCUACAUUAUGAAGGAGAAAACAAAAGCUGUUUUAGGAAACUAUAAAUCACUUGAGGAAUGGCCUUGUGCCAGAAAACUGAGGUCUUUCUCUUAGAAAUUACAGACUUUUGUUCCUUAUAAUUAGGCUUUUUUGCUCAACUUCCAAAUAACUUAGAGAAAAUGAUCAUGUAAGAUUAUAAUUUUUCUUCAAAACAACCUAUGCAGUGUGCAAUAAAAUUUUGAAAGAAAAAAAAAUAAAAAGUUCCUUAGAUUUUAGCCAAAAGAAUAAUGUAAGUCAUUGAUACUUGUUGCAGUAUCGUGACUCCUGUAAAAAACGGUACAACAAAUAGAAUCUCAGAAAAAUCCACAAAAAUAAGUGAGAUCAUGUUAUGGUCACGUUAUAUCACAGAGAAAGUGAUGAAAUAGCUAUGAUCACAUAUAAGCUUCAUCUACUUAUCUGGAAAAAUCUGUCAGGCAUGCAUGGAUUACCCACGAAACUCUAGCAAAAUAAAAGUGCUCUUAAUUCUUUGGUCUCAGAAUCAUUUUUCUGCCCUAAUUAGCUGUGAAAAAUUAUAUUUAUUUUAAAUUCAUGCAGGUAUUUAAUUAGAAAAAUAGCAUUUGUAAAACUGUU
This is a long non-coding RNA of Cavia porcellus (domestic guinea pig), 1519 nucleotides long. RefSeq lists it as uncharacterized. Lineage: Eukaryota; Metazoa; Chordata; Mammalia; Rodentia; Caviidae. The transcript has 4 exons. The record is from RefSeq and is a predicted model, not a curated record.